AAUACCAAUAACCGAAAAUCACAAAACCAUGACAGCAAGGUAUAUAACCUGGGCCUUACAUGACUACAUCAUGGGGAGUAAAUGGAAACAUAGUUUCCAACAAGAAGCCUGUUCCUUUCUCAUUGCUUUGAAGGCCUGUGCCAGGACCCCAAGUUUGCAGUCCUGUUGUGCUUCAGCAUUUCCAUGUUGUUCCCCUUUGGCCUGCAUUCUUCUGGCUUACUUUGUGUCAAACAAGUUCUGUGAGAGCAGGUGGUUUUCAUACCAGAGGUUCUGUAAGGAUAUUUUUUCAUAGUGCUUCAGGAAAGAAAUUUAGAGAGGGAGUUCAGGCCCAACUAAUCCAUUAACUAAGUUGAGUCCAUUGAAAUGUUACUUGUUUCAUUUAUUUGUGUGGCAACUCUUAAUUUUUCAUUCUGUAUUAAAAGUCUGAAAAUCCUCUGAAAAUUCCUUUGACCUAAGGAAAAAAGUAAGAGAAUUCUUGAUUUCAGAGAGCUGAAAUUGAGCAGAACUGCUUUAAGUUGUCAAAUCCUAGAUAGACCUAUGCUACCGGUAAGUCAAGACACGUACAGACUCCCUGCUGUCUAUAGAUUGGAUCAAUGCUCGUAUUUUUAAAUGUGUUCUCUCUACCUUCUGCUUUUUGGCCCUUACAAAAGCAAUGGGUCUUGGUAAUAUCUUAUUUUCAGUCCAUCCUGCUUUGUAAUGGAAGAUGUAUUAUCUGGCUUCUCAAAGCCUCAACAAACCUGCUUUCUGUGGCUGUGAGUGGUUACUGUUGUGCUGCCUGGACUAGAGCUGUUAGGCUCAUGGAUCCUCUGGCUACCAGCCAACAUGGUAUCUGCCAGAUCUCUCUGCUGCUUUGUUCAAGAAGCUUUUGUACUGCCAUUGUCUCUCUGUUCCCUCUGAACAGGCCCGUGGGGUUGUGCAACUCUGAGUUUAUGUAGUCCCUACCUGGAUGUAAUUGUUUUGGCCUUGCACAUAGAACAGUCUGUCAAUCUGCAACCCCGAAACUCCUGUAGGAGACCUAGAGAUUGCAUCGCAUGUCAAGGAGAAGACUGAAUGGUUUGUCUUCAUACAGCUUGCCAGUGCUGGCGUGAAACUGUGCCACUUUGUGCACUCACAGCUGAGCAGAGGCAGAGCCUGUGGAAAUGUGUGGUCCCUAGGCACUGGUCAGCCCAGUGUGCUGUUAGCCAUGAAAGUCCUCAGCACAAUGAUUUGAUGAGGCUGUGAUCUUGGAGAGAUAGAAAAUGAGAUGGGUGCUUCGGUCGGAUCAGGAGGAAAUGCUGAAUUGUAAAGGGUGGGUUUGUGUAGCCAGCUGCCUCGGAGUGAAAAGAAGGCUGCCCUCCUCCUGCAUCUGACCACUGACAUUAAGCAUGCAGGGCUGCAUGACCCGGCAGAGAGACUUCAUCUGCCAGCAGGGAGCCAGUGCCUCGGAGAUGAUGAUGUAGUCCCUAUGUGGGCCGCAGAAAGCACUUCGAGCCGUGCUGGAGUCGUGCUGGGUGGCUCUGAUAGCAGAGCUAAUGGGAGCGAAUGGGAUGCAACGAACUGUUCUAAUGACACCAGCCAGGGAAGAGACAACAUGCCAAGAGCCAGCUUCUCUGAAAGGAUGUCAGAGGAGAAAACCGAGCAUGGCCGGCUGUACAGGACCGCCCCGGGAUGAAGCAGGAAUAACUCGGUAGGACGUCUGCAGGCAGCAGCUGCACCCAUUCGUUGGGGAAAAAUGGAGAAGUGAGAAAUGUGGGAGUGGGAAGUGUGGGAGCAUUGCACAUUAUGUAAUGCAGAGUCUAAGAGCCACUAAAGGCAUAAUUACAAAAUAUAGAAUCAGUUCCUUAUAAAAAAAAUUAGCUGGUCUACCUGCCUA
Molecule: long non-coding RNA, 1852 nt
Organism: Numida meleagris (helmeted guineafowl)
Lineage: Eukaryota; Metazoa; Chordata; Aves; Galliformes; Numididae
Exons: 6
Source: RefSeq, a predicted model, not a curated record